UUUAUAUUUAUAGGUGGAAGAGAUGUCUAAUGGUCCAUAGAUAGAUAAUGUGGGACUAAACAUAUACGUAGUGUGGAGAAAAUAGAAAGAAGAGGGACAAAGGUGUGCCGCAUGGGCCAAUAGUUCGGCCAGCCGUAGCGAGCGGUCCGGCAAGCCGUGGCCUUUGUUUUUUUUUUUUUUUUUUUUUUUUUUUUUUUUUUUUUUUUUUUUUUUUUUUUUUUUUUUUUUAU
This 230-nucleotide long non-coding RNA is filed under the name Hordeum vulgare. Its description in RNAcentral is "long non-coding RNA (HVUL_LNC016025)". Lineage: Eukaryota; Viridiplantae; Streptophyta; Magnoliopsida; Poales; Poaceae. The record is from RNAcentral.